AGUGAACGCUGGCGGUAGGCCUAACACAUGCAAGUCGAACGGCAGCACAGUAAGAGCUUGCUCUUACGGGUGGCGAGUGGCGGACGGGUGAGGAAUACGUCGGAAUCUACUUUUUCGUGGGGGAUAACGUAGGGAAACUUACGCUAAUACCGCAUACGACCUACGGGUGAAAGCAGGGGAUCUUCGGACCUUGCGCGAUUGAAUGAGCCGAUGUCGGAUUAGCUAGUUGGCGGGGUAAAGGCCCACCAAGGCGACGAUCCGUAGCUGGUCUGAGAGGAUGAUCAGCCACACUGGAACUGAGACACGGUCCAGACUCCUACGGGAGGCAGCAGUGGGGAAUAUUGGACAAUGGGCGCAAGCCUGAUCCAGCCAUACCGCGUGGGUGAAGAAGGCCUUCGGGUUGUAAAUCCCUUUUGUUGGGAAAGAAAAGCAGCAGGUUAAUACCCCGCUGUUCUGACGGUACCCAAAGAAUAAGCACCGGCUAACUUCGUG
This 492-nucleotide ribosomal RNA is filed under the name uncultured bacterium. RNAcentral's name for it is "partial 16S ribosomal RNA". It matches the Rfam family "Bacterial small subunit ribosomal RNA", at positions 29 to 507 of the family's 1533-position model. The record is from RNAcentral.